RNAcentral lists this ribosomal RNA (718 nucleotides) under uncultured Lachnospiraceae bacterium. RNAcentral's name for it is "bacterial SSU rRNA". It matches the Rfam family "Bacterial small subunit ribosomal RNA", at positions 8 to 723 of the family's 1533-position model. Lineage: Bacteria; Bacillati; Bacillota; Clostridia; Lachnospirales; Lachnospiraceae. The record is from RNAcentral.
AGAGUUUGAUCGUGGCUCAGGACGAACGCUGGCGGCGUGCCUAACACAUGCAAGUCGAACGGAACUGUUUUGAAAGAUUUCUUCGGAAUGAAUUUGAUUUAGUUUAGUGGCGGACGGGUGAGUAACGCGUGAGUAACCUGCCUUCAAGAGGGGGAUAACAUUCUGAAAAGAAUGCUAAUACCGCAUGACAUAUCGGAACCACAUGGUUUUGAUAUCAAAGAUUUUAUCGCUUGAAGAUGGACUCGCGUCCGAUUAGUUAGUUGGUGAGGUAACGGCUCACCAAGACCGCGAUCGGUAGCCGGACUGAGAGGUUGAACGGCCACAUUGGGACUGAGACACGGCCCAGACUCCUACGGGAGGCAGCAGUGGGGGAUAUUGCGCAGUGGGGGCAACCCUGACGCAGCAACGCCGCGUGAAGGAUGAAGGUUUUCGGAUUGUAAACUUCUUUUAUUAAGGACGAAAAAUGACGGUACUUAAUGAAUAAGCUCCGGCUAACUACGUGCCAGCAGCCGCGGUAAUACGUAGGGAGCAAGCGUUGUCCGGAUUUACUGGGUGUAAAGGGUGCGUAGGCGGCUUUGCAAGUCAGAUGUGAAAUCUAUGGGCUCAACCCAUAAACUGCAUUUGAAACUGUAGAGCUUGAGUGAAGUAGAGGCAGGCGGAAUUCCCCGUGUAGCGGUGAAAUGCGUAGAGAUGGGGAGGAACACCAGUGGCGAAGGCG